UACGUAGGGGGCAAGCGUUGUCCGGAAUUAUUGGGCGUAAAGAGCGUGUAGGCGGUCCGGUAAGUCAGCUGUGAAAGUCAAGGGCUCAACCCUUGAAUGCCGGUUGAUACUGUCGGGCUAGAGUCCGGAAGAGGCGAGUGGAAUUCCCGGUGUAGCGGUGAAAUGCGCAGAUAUCGGGAGGAACACCUAUGGCGAAGGCAGCUCGCUGGGACGGUACUGACGCUGAGACGCGAAAGCGUGGGGAGCAAACAGG
This 253-nucleotide ribosomal RNA is filed under the name uncultured bacterium. RNAcentral's name for it is "partial 16S ribosomal RNA". It matches the Rfam family "Bacterial small subunit ribosomal RNA", at positions 524 to 776 of the family's 1533-position model. The record is from RNAcentral.